AGUGAACGCUGGCGGUAGGCCUAACACAUGCAAGUCGAACGGCAGCACAGGAGAGCUUGCUCUCUGGGUGGCGAGUGGCGGACGGGUGAGGAAUACAUCGGAAUCUACUCUGUCGUGGGGGAUAACGUAGGGAAACUUACGCUAAUACCGCAUACGACCUACGGGUGAAAGCAGGGGACCUUCGGGCCUUGCGCGAUUGAAUGAGCCGAUGUCGGAUUAGCUAGUUGGCGGGGUAAAGGCCCACCAAGGCGACGAGCCGUAGCUGGUCUGAGAGGAUGAUCAGCCACACUGGAACUGAGACACGGUCCAGACUCCUACGGGAGGCAGCAGUGGGGAAUAUUGGACAAUGGGCGCAAGCCUGAUCCAGCCAUACCGCGUGGGUGAAGAAGGCCUUCGGGUUGUAAAGCCCUUUGUUGGGAAAGAAAUCCAGCUGGCUAAUACCCGGUUGGGAUGACUGUACCUAAAGAAUAAGCACCGGCUAACUUCGUGCCAGCCGCCGCUGUAA
This 505-nucleotide ribosomal RNA is filed under the name uncultured bacterium. Its description in RNAcentral is "partial 16S ribosomal RNA". It matches the Rfam family "Bacterial small subunit ribosomal RNA", at positions 29 to 523 of the family's 1533-position model. The record is from RNAcentral.